GACGGUUUCGGCUGUCACUUACAGAUGGACCCGCGGCGCAUUAGCUAGUUGGUGGGGUAAUGGCUCACCAAGGCGACGAUGCGUAGCCGACCUGAGAGGGUGAUCGGCCACACUGGGACUGAGACACGGCCCAGACUCCUACGGGAGGCAGCAGUAGGGAAUCUUCCGCAAUGGACGAAAGUCUGACGGAGCAACGCCGCGUGAGUGAUGAAGGUUUUCGGAUCGUAAAGCUCUGUUGUUAGGGAAGAACAAGUGCGAGAGUAACUGCUCGCACCUUGACGGUACCUAACCAGAAAGCCACGGCUAACUACGUGCCAGCAGCCGCGGUAAUACGUAGGUGGCAAGCGUUGUCCGGAAUUAUUGGGCGUAAAGGGCUCGCAGGCGGUUUCUUAAGUCUGAUGUGAAAGCCCCCGGCUCAACCGGGGAGGGUCAUUGGAAACUGGGAAACUUGAGUGCAGAAGAGGAGAGUGGAAUUCCACGUGUAGCGGUGAAAUGCGUAGAGAUGUGGAGGAACACCAGUGGCGAAGGCGACUCUCUGGUCUGUAACUGACGCUGAGGAGCGAAAGCGUGGGGAGCGAACAGGAUUAGAUACCCUGGUAGUCCACGCCGUAAACGAUGAGUGCUAAGUGUUAGGGGGUUUCCGCCCCUUAGUGCUGCAGCUAACGCAUUAAGCACUCCGCCUGGGGAGUACGGUCGCAAGACUGAAACUCAAAGGAAUUGACGGGGGCCCGCACAAGCGGUGGAGCAUGUGGUUUAAUUCGAAGCAACGCGAAGAACCUUACCAGGUCUUGACAUCCUCUGACAACCCUAGAGAUAGGGCUUUCCCUUCGGGGACAGAGUGACAGGUGGUGCAUGGUUGUCGUCAGCUCGUGUCGUGAGAUGUUGGGUUAAGUCCCGCAACGAGCGCAACCCUUGAUCUUAGUUGCCAGCAUUUAGUUGGGCACUCUAAGGUGACUGCCGGUGACAAACCGGAGGAAGGUGGGGAUGACGUCAAAUCAUCAUGCCCCUUAUGACCUGGGCUACACACGUGCUACAAUGGACAGAACAAAGGGCUGCAAGACCGCAAG
RNAcentral lists this ribosomal RNA (1067 nucleotides) under Bacillus sp. Pa106. Its description in RNAcentral is "bacterial SSU rRNA". It matches the Rfam family "Bacterial small subunit ribosomal RNA", at positions 202 to 1261 of the family's 1533-position model. Lineage: Bacteria; Bacillati; Bacillota; Bacilli; Caryophanales; Bacillaceae. The record is from RNAcentral.